RNAcentral lists this ribosomal RNA (562 nucleotides) under uncultured bacterium. RNAcentral describes it as "partial 16S ribosomal RNA". It matches the Rfam family "Bacterial small subunit ribosomal RNA", at positions 355 to 909 of the family's 1533-position model. The record is from RNAcentral.
UGGGGAAUUUUGGACAAUGGGCGAAAGCCUGAUCCAGCAAUGCCGCGUGUGUGAAGAAGGCCUUCGGGUUGUAAAGCACUUUUGUCCGGAAAGAAAUCCUUGGCUCUAAUACAGUCGGGGGAUGACGGUACCGGAAGAAUAAGCACCGGCUAACUACGUGCCAGCAGCCGCGGUAAUACGUAGGGUGCAAGCGUUAGUCGGAAUUACUGGGCGUAAAGCGUGCGCAGGCGGUUUGCUAAGACCGAUGUGAAAUCCCCGGGCUCAACCUGGGAACUGCAUUGGUGACUGGCAGGCUAGAGUAUGGCAGAGGGGGGUAGAAUUCCACGUGUAGCAGUGAAAUGCGUAGAGAUGUGGAGGAAUACCGAUGGCGAAGGCAGCCCCCUGGGCCAAUACUGACGCUCAUGCACGAAAGCGUGGGGAGCAAAACAGGAUUAGAUACCCUGGUAGUCCACGCCCUAAACGAUGUCAACUAGUUGUUGGGGAUUCAUUUCCUUAGUAACGUAGCUAACGCGUGAAGUUGACCGCCUGGGGAGUACGGUCGCAAGAUUAAAACUUAAAGGAA